AACUCCUACGGGAGGCAGCAGUAGGGAAUAUUGGACAAUGGGCGCAAGCCUGAUCCAGCCAUGCCGCGUGAGUGAAGAAGGCCCUCGGGUUGUAAAGCUCUUUUGUUGGGGAAGAAAAGCCUUGGGUUAAUACCCCGGGUCCGUGACGGUCCCGAAGAAUCAAAGCACCGGCUAACUUCGUGCCAGCAGCCGCGGUAAUACGAAGGGUGCAAGCGUUACUCGGAAUCAUUGGGUUUAAAGGGUCCGUAGGUGGAUGAUUAAGUCAGAGGUGAAAUCCUGCAGCUCAACUGUAGAAUUGCCUUUGAUACUGGUUGUCUUGAAUUAUUGUGAAGUAGUUAGAAUAUGUGGUGUAGCGGUGAAAUGCAUAGAUAUCACAUAGAAUACCGAUUGCGAAGGCAGAUUACUAACAAUACAUUGACACUGAUGGACGAAAGCGUGGGGAGCGAACAGGAUUAGAUACCCUGUAGGCUCUG
Molecule: ribosomal RNA, 473 nt
Filed under: uncultured bacterium
Lineage: Bacteria
Description: bacterial SSU rRNA
Rfam family: Bacterial small subunit ribosomal RNA
Source: RNAcentral